RNAcentral lists this ribosomal RNA (431 nucleotides) under uncultured bacterium. RNAcentral describes it as "partial 16S ribosomal RNA". It matches the Rfam family "Bacterial small subunit ribosomal RNA", at positions 30 to 507 of the family's 1533-position model. The record is from RNAcentral.
CGAACGCUGGCGGCAUGCCUACCACAUGCAAGUCGACCGAGACCUUCGGGUCUAGUGGCGCACGGGUGCGUAACGCGUGGGAACCUGCCCUUAGGUUCGGAAUAACUCCCCGAAAGGGGUGCUAAUACCGGAUAAUGUCUUCGGACCAAAGAUUUAUCGCCUUUGGCUGGGCCCGCGUUGGAUUAGCUAGUUGGUAGGGUAAAAGCCUACCAAGGCGACGAUCCAUAGCUGGUCUGAGAGGAUGAUCAGCCACACUGGGACUGAGACACGGCCCAGACUCCUACGGGAGGCAGCAGUGGGGAAUAUUGGACAAUGGGCGAAAGCCUGAUCCAGCAAUGCCGCGUGAGUGAUGAAGGCCUUAGGGUUGUAAAGCUCUUUUACCCGGGAUGAUAAUGACAGUACCGGGAGAAUAAGCUCCGGCUAACUCCGUG